UUGUAAAUUGGGUUUUUUUUUUACCGAUAGUUAAAGCGAAGCUUUACUUCGGGAGUUGCCAAAUUGUUAAGGCGCGGGAUCAGCUGCAGCAGGGAGGCUUAGGAAAGCUGCAAUAUCAGCUGUUCUGCAUUUCCGGUAACCUAAAUGGAAUGUAGGUUGUUCCAUGCUCGGUCUUUUCUUUCGAAACCACCCAGAAGUGCAGACGCCCAAAUAGUAUCUCUCUGCAAGUGUAAAUUUUAUCAGCGCAAGAGCAGCGCAAGUGCAGUGUUCAUUUUUUUUAUUUAUCAACUACCAAAUUUGCAACGGUGAUAAGGGCAGCCUAAGCCUGUGUUUGUGGGUUUUUUUUGUUUUUGUUUCGCGGCUUUAUAAAAGCGCGACCUCGUGGCGGCCUUAUCAAAAUUUAUCAGGCGGUCCACCUCAAAGCACCCCGGGAGCGCUCCUGGUGGAGGCUCCCAGUUCAGGAGCGGCUUAACCUCGAUCGGGUAAUCCGUCUCCCCCCCUCAUCUUCACCACCAUCUUCAUCAUCAUCUUCAUCUCCUAAUACAUUGGUGCCGGGAAAUUAACACUCAGUGGCCGGAAAAUUAACCGUAGGGAUGGUGUAAAGAGGAUUUGCAGACCCAACGAAUUCAAGACCCGUUAAGUGAAAGGCCGUUGACCCCACCAGCCAUGGAAUAAGGAGCAAAAGAGAAAUUAUUAAAACCGCUAGCCCAGCCGCCCAGCUCCAAACUCGUGGCGAUCAUUUUUUUUCUCUCUUUUCUCAUCUACAUUUCAUCCCCCAAUUC
This 782-nucleotide small RNA is filed under the name Drosophila ananassae. Its description in RNAcentral is "GF27512". The record is from RNAcentral. Lineage: Eukaryota; Metazoa; Arthropoda; Insecta; Diptera; Drosophilidae.